RNAcentral lists this ribosomal RNA (703 nucleotides) under Sordariomycetes sp. genotype 79. RNAcentral's name for it is "eukaryotic LSU rRNA". The stretch from base 258 to 703 matches the Rfam family "Eukaryotic large subunit ribosomal RNA", at positions 1 to 452 of the family's 3401-position model. The record is from RNAcentral. Lineage: Eukaryota; Fungi; Ascomycota; Sordariomycetes.
GAUAAGUAAUGUGAAUUGCAGAAUUCAGUGAAUCAUCGAAUCUUUGAACGCACAUUGCGCCCGCCAGUACUCUGGCGGGCAUGCCUGUUCGAGCGUCAUUUCAACCCUCAAGCCCUGCUUGGUGUUGGGGUCCUACGGCUGCCGUAGGCCCUGAAAGCUAGUGGCGGGCUCGCUAUAACUCCGAGCGUAGUAGUAAAAUAUCUCGCUAGGGAGGUGUCGCGGGUUCCGGCCGUGAAAGCCCAUCUUUUACACAAGGUUGACCUCGGAUCAGGUAGGAAUACCCGCUGAACUUAAGCAUAUCAAUAAGCGGAGGAAAAGAAACCAACAGGGAUUGCCCCAGUAACGGCGAGUGAAGCGGCAACAGCUCAAAUUUGAAAUCUGGCUUCGGCCCGAGUUGUAAUUUGUAGAGGAUGCUUUUGGUGAGGUGCCUUCUGAGUUCCCUGGAACGGGACGCCAGAGAGGGUGAGAGCCCCGUAUAGUUGGACACCGAGCCUCUGUAAAGCUCCUUCGACGAGUCGAGUAGUUUGGGAAUGCUGCUCAAAAUGGGAGGUAUAUCUCUUCUAAAGCUAAAUACUGGCCAGAGACCGAUAGCGCACAAGUAGAGUGAUCGAAAGAUGAAAAGCACUUUGAAAAGAGGGUUAAAUAGUACGUGAAAUUGUUGAAAGGGAAGCGCUUGUGACCAGACUUGUGCCCGGCUGAUCAU